Long non-coding RNA from Drosophila miranda, 518 nucleotides. RefSeq lists it as uncharacterized. The record is from RefSeq and is a predicted model, not a curated record. The transcript is spliced from 2 exons. NCBI's taxonomy places the organism in Eukaryota, Metazoa, Arthropoda, Insecta, Diptera, Drosophilidae.
UGGUAUAUUUCUGAGGGUCAGACGGUAGAUUUCAUCGAUAAGUCCGCGGUCACACUGAUACUAUUCGCGACUACUAUAGAAAACAUGAAAUUUCCUGUCGCCGACUGCUGUAUACAAAUCCACCCAGGGACUGAAAGCGCAAUCACCAAGUACAUCACACACAACCGCGGGGGGUCGCGCGCACUUACGUGUCGUCCACAAAUAUAAAAAAGUGCAUGCUGCACCCAUGUCGACGGUGGAGGUGCCUGGAAAGCCUGGUCAAGGAUCUUGAGAAAGUGCCACUUAUUCUUUGGAAAUGUGUUUUAGCGUUCUUUCUAAGUGUCCAGUGGCUUUGCGGGGGAUUCAAUGACCAGGUUUUGAUUAUAUGUAUUUAUUUGUUUCCAACUUGUUGCUCUGCAACAUACAUAUGUACAUAUAGGUGAACACAGGAAUAUUGGAAUCGUUUUUAGCGUUGUGUGUUUGUGUAUGUGUGUUGGAGCGACGUGAAUCGAACAUAAAUUGUGUAAAUUUCCCCCGGA